GUCCAUGGGCCUACCACUGUGAACACGCCUGAUCUCAUCUGAUCCCAGAAGUUAACCAGGGUCAGGCCUGGCUAGUACUCGGAUGAGAAGCCAGCAGGGAAUACCACGUGCUGUAAGCU
This is a ribosomal RNA of Colobus angolensis palliatus, 119 nucleotides long. The record is from Ensembl. NCBI's taxonomy places the organism in Eukaryota, Metazoa, Chordata, Mammalia, Primates, Cercopithecidae.